RNAcentral lists this long non-coding RNA (1788 nucleotides) under Jatropha curcas. Its description in RNAcentral is "long non-coding RNA (JCUR_LNC002890)". Lineage: Eukaryota; Viridiplantae; Streptophyta; Magnoliopsida; Malpighiales; Euphorbiaceae. The record is from RNAcentral.
AAUUACACAAUAUAUUACAAUAAUAAAAUUAAUAAUAUUAUAAUUGAGAAAGUUUAAAAUUAAUAAAAAAUUAUAUAUUAAAACCAUGCAUAGCAUGGAUAUUUACAUUAGUUAUUUGUAUUUUGGAACGAAUGAAAAAUAAACGUAAGAACUAUUAUUAUGGGAUGGAAGGUGUCACGACCCGUAACCAUGGCCCCAACCGGCACUAAGGCCCAGGUAAGUUUAAGGGCCCGAGACUCGUAGUAGGCCUAAUUAAAAACAAAUUCAAUUAUAUCAAUGUAAAUUCUAAGUAUUAAGCCCAUAUUGCCAUGCGAAUAUAAACCUCAUAUUCAUAUUAUAAUUCAGCCCCACGUUGUAACAUCUUAAACAUUUACAAAUUAGCCCGGCUUACAAUACAUCAUAUUUAUAAUAUGGUCUCACAGAAUUAUUAUAAUAAUUGAUCCAUUUAUUAAACCAAGCUUAAAGAGAGAAAAGUUGCUUAACACAUUGCCCACUUAAGCACUUGAUUACAACAAUCAUAUACUCAUAUGUUAAUACCAUAAGCUAUAAUUCAAAGAGUCAAUUAAAAUGGGUGCUGCCAACCCAAGGGAAUCAAGGUUUCCUAACCAAAACCCUUACACUAUAUGCCAAUUACCUCACUUCCCAAUAUAAACUAGAUUAUUAAUGAGAAAACUAGAAUAUCCUAUUAUUAACAAAUUCAUAUAAAUAACUUAUUUUGAAUGUUAUCAAAAUGUAAUUACUUUGCUAACUAGCUAAUCAAUUCUUGCUAAGAUUGUAUAGUUCUUGUUUUAUCGACUUUCAGCUAUUUUUCAGCCUGAAGUCUAAUUUCCAAAUUUCCGUCAAUCCACAGUUCGAGUAUCAAUUGAUAUCAGAUAGUAAAACUAAUUAUAUAUCCAUACUCUACACGAAAAAUACAAUGUUCUGCCUCUGGGAAACUCCGGUCACCGGAGCCACCGCUUUCGCCGCCGUCUACGGUGGCGGGAGGGGUGGUGGUUCUAGAAUUCAUCAAUCAACGCCAAAUCCUAUUGCAAAUCCCAACUAGAACGCGAUUUUAUGGUCAUUUUAUACCAAUUAUGUCAUUAUCUAUCAAAAUCCCAACUUAUAAACCAAUUAAAACAUAAGUUCAAAUUUUCCUAAAAUUUCCGAUUAUUUGCAAAUUAAGCAAACAAAUGACUUGUAAAGGCAUUAGAAAGGGAUAGUCAGCCGACCUCGUUGGUGUCAGUCAUCGGAAUUGUUCGAGGUGGCCGGAGUUGAUCAUCGCAACCUCUCUGUCUCCCUCUCUCUUUCUGUCGGGCGAGAAGUAGGCCAAGAGCAAGGAAUGGGUCGGAUGGUUGUAACCGUAGGGACUAGAAGCGAGGUUCAGGUGGCACGAAUGGCGUUCCUUGCCGUUGAUCGGUCUGAAAAUGCGGGAGGAGGGGCUGAGGGUGCUGCGAUCGCAGCUUCCUGCGACAGCCGCGCUAGCUACGCUAGCCUGAGUCAACAGAGGUGAGGGCGAAGGAGAGCGGCACGGGAACGGCAGCGGGAGGCGAUGGGAAUGGCACUGGCUUCAGGUGACCGAAAAGGCAAAAGGGAAAAGGGGAGGGGGGUGGAGGUCGGCGCUGAAGGGGAUAUGGGGAGGUUUCUAGAAUUGUUUAGGUUUUGAUUUUUUUUUUUUUGGUUUGGUUUGAUUCGGGUUGGGUUCAGUCCAAAUCAUGGUUUUUCUGUGAUUUUCAUUUCUUUCAUGGGUUUUACAUGGUUUGUCGAUUUUUCAUUUGGUUCUCUACUAGUUUUCAUUUAGUUGCAGGUUUG